GAUGAACGCUAGCGACAGGCCUAACACAUGCAAGUCGAGGGGCAUCACAUGAGUAGCAAUACGAUGGUGGCGACCGGCGCACGGGUGAGUAACACGUAUGCAACCUACCUGUAAGAGGGGAAUAACCCGUUGAAAAACGGACUAAUACCGCAUAACACUGUAGAACCGCAUGGUUUGACAGUUAAACAUUUAUGGCUUACAGAUGGGCAUGCGCAUGAUUAGCUAGUUGGUGAGGUAACGGCUCACCAAGGCAACGAUCAUUAGGGGUUCUGAGAGGAAGGUCCCCCACACUGGUACUGAGACACGGACCAGACUCCUACGGGAGGCAGCAGUGAGGAAUAUUGGUCAAUGGGCGAGAGCCUGAACCAGCCAAGUCGCGUGAAGGAUGAAGGUUUUAUGAAUUGUAAACUUCUUUUGCAGGGGAAUAAAGUGUCCGACGUGUCGGAUUUUGUAUGUACUCUGCGAAUAAGGAUCGGCUAACUCCGUGCCAGC
Molecule: ribosomal RNA, 492 nt
Filed under: uncultured bacterium
Lineage: Bacteria
Description: bacterial SSU rRNA
Rfam family: Bacterial small subunit ribosomal RNA
Source: RNAcentral